Molecule: ribosomal RNA, 304 nt
Filed under: Staphylococcus aureus
Lineage: Bacteria; Bacillati; Bacillota; Bacilli; Caryophanales; Staphylococcaceae
Description: partial 23S ribosomal RNA
Rfam family: Bacterial large subunit ribosomal RNA
Source: RNAcentral
AAAUAGCUUUAGGGCUAGCCUCAAGUGAUGAUUCUUGGAGGUAGAGCACUGUUUGGACGAGGGGCCCCUCUCGGGUUAACGAAUUCAGACAAACUCCGAAUGCCAAUUAAUUUAACUUGGCAGUCAGAACAUGGGUGAUAAGGUCCGUGUUCGAAAGGGAAACAGCCCAGACCACCAGCUAAGGUCCCAAAAUAGAUGUUAAGUGGAAAAGGAUGUGGCGUUGACCAGACAACUAGGAUGUUGGCUUAGAAGCAGCCAUCAUUCAAUGAUAGCGUAAUAGACCACUAGACGAGUCACACUGCGC